RNAcentral lists this ribosomal RNA (253 nucleotides) under uncultured bacterium. Its description in RNAcentral is "partial 16S ribosomal RNA". It matches the Rfam family "Bacterial small subunit ribosomal RNA", at positions 524 to 776 of the family's 1533-position model. The record is from RNAcentral.
GACGAGAGGGGUAAACGUUUUUCAGCAUGAAUCGGUCUAAAGAGUAUGUAGGCGGUAUUGCUAAUCAGUAGUUAUGAGAGUCUCAGUAGAGAUUAUUAUAAAAUGUAAUGGCCUUACUUGAGUGUUAUUGAAGAUGGGGGAAUACUAAGUGUAGGGAUGAAAUCUUAUCAAACUUGGUGGACUCUCUAAAAGCGCAGGCACCUGUCUAAUUAAACACUGACGCUGAGAUACUAAAGUAUGGGUAGCGAAGAGG